UAGCGAGGUUCGAGCCGCCCGUACCCCAAACCGACUCAGGUGGUUAGGUAGAGAAUACCAAGGCGAUCGAGUGAAUCGUGGUUAAGGAACUCGGCAAAAUACCCCCGUAACUUCGGGAGAAGGGGGGCCCAGAGGGUGACGGAGACUAGCGCUCCUGAGCCUGAACGGCCGCAGAGACCAGGGAGAAGCGACUGUUUACUAAAAACACAGGUCCGUGCCAAGUCGCAAGACGAUGUAUACGGACUGACGCCUGCCCGGUGCUGGAACGUUAAGGGGACCGGUUAGCCUCACGGCGAAGCUGAGAACUUAAGCGCCAGUAAACGGCGGUGGUAACUAUAACCAUCCUAAGGUAGCGAAAUUCCUUGUCGGGUAAGUUCCGACCUGCACGAAUGGCGUAACGACUUCUCCACUUUCUCAACCACGAACUCGGCGAAAUUGCACUACGAGUAAAGAUGCUCGUUACGCGCAGAAGGACGGAAAGACCCCGGGACCUUUACUACAGCUUGGUAUUGGUGUUCGGAACGGCUUGUGUAGGAUAGGUGGGAGGCUCCGAAGCUGAUACGCCAGUAUCGGUGGAGCCAACGUUGAAAUACCACUCUGGUCGUUCUGGAUGUCUAACCUAGGUCCGUAAUCCGGAUCAGGGACAGUGCCUGGUGGGUAGUUUAACUGGGGCGGUUGCCUCCUAAAAGGUAACGGAGGCGCCCAAAGGUUCCCUCAGCCUGGUUGGCAAUCAGGUUUUGAGUGUAAGUGCACAAGGGAGCUUGACUGUGAGACUGACAAGUCGAACAGGGACGAAAGUCGGGACUAGUGAUCCGGCGGUGGCUUGUGGAAGCGCCGUCGCUCAACGGAUAAAAGGUACCCCGGGGAUAACAGGCUGAUCUUGCCCAAGAGUCCAUAUCGACGGCAUGGUUUGGCACCUCGAUGUCGGCUCGUCGCAUCCUGGGGCUGGAGUAGGUCCCAAGGGUUGGGCUGUUCGCCCAUUAAAGCGGUACGCGAGCUGGGUUUAGAACGUCGUGAGACAGUUCGGUCCCUAUCCUCUGCGCGCGCAGGAAACUUGAGAAGAGCUGUCCCUAGUACGAGAGGACCGGGAUGGACGAACCUCUGGUGUGUCAGUUGUUCUGCCAAGAGCACCGCUGAUUAGCUACGUUCGGAAGUGUUAACCGCUGAAAGCAUCUAAGCGGGAAGCAUGCUUCAAGAUGAGGUUUCCAUGGGGUUUACCCCGAGAGGCUCCCAGCUAGACUACUGGGUUGAUAGGCCGGAUGUGGAAGUGCGGUAACGCACGGAGCUGACCGGUAC
RNAcentral lists this ribosomal RNA (1296 nucleotides) under metagenome. Its description in RNAcentral is "bacterial LSU rRNA". It matches the Rfam family "Bacterial large subunit ribosomal RNA", at positions 1624 to 2901 of the family's 2925-position model. The record is from RNAcentral.